GGCGUUAAUCGCUUCAUCGAACGACUGCCGUCGUCGCCUCGGGGCGUCGCAUCCCUCGGGCUUGCGGCCCUCGUGCGACGACGGCGUCGGUGAGGAAUGC
This 100-nucleotide unclassified non-coding RNA is filed under the name Augusta austrocaledonica. RNAcentral describes it as "partial external transcribed spacer". Lineage: Eukaryota; Viridiplantae; Streptophyta; Magnoliopsida; Gentianales; Rubiaceae. The record is from RNAcentral.